Molecule: ribosomal RNA, 492 nt
Filed under: uncultured bacterium
Lineage: Bacteria
Description: partial 16S ribosomal RNA
Rfam family: Bacterial small subunit ribosomal RNA
Source: RNAcentral
AGUGAACGCUGGCGGUAGGCCUAACACAUGCAAGUCGAACGGCAGCACAGUAAGAGCUUGCUCUUACGGGUGGCGAGUGGCGGACGGGUGAGGAAUACAUCGGAAUCUACUUUUUCGUGGGGGAUAACGUAGGGAAACUUACGCUAAUACCGCAUACGACCUACGGGUGAAAGCAGGGGAUCUUCGGACCUUGCGCGAUUGAAUUAGCCGAUGUCGGAUUAGCUAGUUGGCGGGGUAAAGGCCCACCAAGGCGACGAUCCGUAGCUGGUCUGAGAGGAUGAUCAGCCACACUGGAACUGAGACACGGUCCAGACUCCUACGGGAGGCAGCAGUGGGGAAUAUUGGACAAUGGGCGCAGGCCUGAUCCAGCCAUACCGCGUGGGUGAAGAAGGCCUUCGGGUUGUAAAGCCCUUUUGUUGGGAAAGAAAAGCAGCAGGUUAAUACCCCGCUGUUCUGACGGUACCCAAAGAAUAAGCACCGGCUAACUUCGUG